Molecule: ribosomal RNA, 465 nt
Filed under: Vreelandella stevensii
Lineage: Bacteria; Pseudomonadati; Pseudomonadota; Gammaproteobacteria; Oceanospirillales; Halomonadaceae
Description: partial 16S ribosomal RNA
Rfam family: Bacterial small subunit ribosomal RNA
Source: RNAcentral
CCUACGGGGGGCUGCAGUGGGGAAUAUUGGACAAUGGGCGAAAGCCUGAUCCAGCCAUGCCGCGUGUGUGAAGAAGGCCUUCGGGUUGUAAAGCACUUUCAGUGGGGAAGAAAGCCUUGGGGCUAAUACCCUCGAGGAAGGACAUCACCCACAGAAGAAGCACCGGCUAACUCCGUGCCAGCAGCCGCGGUAAUACGGAGGGUGCGAGCGUUAAUCGGAAUUACUGGGCGUAAAGCGCGCGUAGGCGGUCUGAUAAGCCGGUUGGGAAAGCCCCGGGCUCAACCUGGGAACGGCAUCCGGAACUGUCAGGCUAGAGUGCAGGAGAGGAAGGUAGAAUUCCCGGUGUAGCGGUGAAAUGCGUAGAGAUCGGGAGGAAUACCAGUGGCGAAGGCGGCCUUCUGGACUGACACUGACGCUGAGGUGCGAAAGCGUGGGUAGCAAACAGGAUUAGAUACCCUGGUAGUC